This 382-nucleotide ribosomal RNA is filed under the name uncultured eukaryote. Its description in RNAcentral is "partial 18S ribosomal RNA". It matches the Rfam family "Eukaryotic small subunit ribosomal RNA", at positions 592 to 976 of the family's 1831-position model. The record is from RNAcentral.
UGUAGGCGUAUACCAAAGUUGUUGCAGUUAAAACGCUCGUAGUCGGAAUUUGGCAGUUCCGGAUGUGUGCACGUCGUGUGCGCACUUCGCGGGGAUUGCUUUUGUGGUCUUGCGUAGGAUGAGGCACUUUUAUUAGUGAACGUCCUCACGCAACCACUUUUUACUGUGAGAAAAUCAGAGUGCUCAAAGCAGGCACUUGCCGUGAAUGUAUUAGCAUGGAAUAAUAGAAUAGGACUUGGUUCUAUUUUGUUGGUUUGUUGGGACUGAGUAAUGAUUAAGAGGGACAGUUGGGGGCAUUUGUAUUUCGGUGCUAGAGGUGAAAUUCUUAGAUUACCGAAAGACAAACUGCUGCGAAAGCGUCUGCCAAGGAUGUUUUCAUUGA